CCUACGGGAGGCAGCAGUGAGGAAUAUUGGUCAAUGGACGAGAGUCUGAACCAGCCAAGCAGCGUGAAGGAUGACUGCCCUAUGGGUUGUAAACUUCUUUUAUAUGGGAAUAAACUGUUCCACGUGUGGGCUUUUGUAUGUACCAUAUGAAUAAGGAUCGGCUAACCCCGUUCCAGCAGCCGCGGUAAUACGGAGGUUCCGGGCGUUAUCCGGAUUUAUUGGGUUUAAAGGGAGCGUAGGUGGGUUGUUAAGUCAGUUGGGAAAGUCUGCGGCGCAACCGGAGAAUUGCAGUUGAAACUGGCAGGCUGGAGUGCAGGAGAGGUGGGCGGAAUUCGUGGGGUAGCGGUGAAAUGCUUAGAGAUCAGGAAGAACUCCGAUUGCGAAGGCAGCUCACUGGACUGCAACUGACGCUGAGGCUCGAAAGUGUGGGUAUCAAACAGGAUUAGAUACCCGAGUAGUC
This 460-nucleotide ribosomal RNA is filed under the name uncultured bacterium. RNAcentral describes it as "partial 16S ribosomal RNA". It matches the Rfam family "Bacterial small subunit ribosomal RNA", at positions 338 to 795 of the family's 1533-position model. The record is from RNAcentral.